GAUGAACGCUAGCGGCAGGCCUAAUACAUGCAAGUCGAGGGGUAUGGGUUGCUUGCAACCCAGAGGCCGGCGCACGGGUGCGUAACGCGUAUGCAAUCUACCUUAAUCAGGGGGAUAGCCCGGAGAAAUCCGGAUUAACACCGCAUAACAUUGAGUUGUGGCAUCACAGUUCAAUCAAAUAUUUAUAGGAUUAAGAUGAGCAUGCGUGACAUUAGUUAGUUGGUGAGGUAACGGCUCACCAAGACCACGAUGUCUAGGGGAUCUGAGAGGAUGACCCCCCACACUGGUACUGAGACACGGACCAGGCUCCUACGGGAGGCAGCAGUAAGGAAUAUUGGUCAAUGGGCGCAAGCCUGAACCAGCCAUGCCGCGUGCAGGAAGACGGCCCUAUGGGUUGUAAACUGCUUUUGUACCGGAAUAAACCUUCUCUUGCGAGAGAAGCUGAACGUACGGUAAGAAUAAGGAUCGGCUAACUCCGUG
Molecule: ribosomal RNA, 480 nt
Filed under: uncultured bacterium
Lineage: Bacteria
Description: partial 16S ribosomal RNA
Rfam family: Bacterial small subunit ribosomal RNA
Source: RNAcentral